GAACCAGGCAAACAUAGGGAUCGGAUUAAAAGAAGGGUGUGCUGCAUAACUUUUGAUUUAGAGAAGAAAGGAAGAGGGGAAGCACCACAACAGAAAUGAUACUUGAAAAAAAAAAACCCAGAUAGCUUGAAAUUAUGAGUAAGAAGAUAGACCACCUCCAAGAAAAGUCUAAAGAGUCCAAGAAAGUAUGCAAUGGACUCUGAGUGGAUGAACCAUGGACCAAGUUUUUGUUUUAGUGGACAAAUGGAGAUGGACAGCUAAAGGAGAAGGGCAAUCGACCAUGGACUGGAGACCUCAGGUUCUGUUCGACAGCAGUGCUGCAUUUCAUAUACAUGGAGCUGUACCUUGUAAGGAUGACCCAUNGACAAGACUGUGAAGAAAGAUGGAAUGAAGAACUUCCUCCUGGUUCCAGCUAAUCACAGUUUACUGAGGCACAAGUCUGUUCACCAAUGAGACCCAUUACUCUGAAUGUGUCAACAGUGUCAGAGUAUCCACAUCCAGGUAUGGACAUCAUGACUCUGAGUUCAUUGCAAUGUGUAGAUUUGACCAAAUAAAAGAAAUAUUCUGUACUUUAAAA
This 577-nucleotide long non-coding RNA is filed under the name Salvator merianae (Argentine black and white tegu). RNAcentral's name for it is "lncRNA (ENSSMRG00000022264.1)". Lineage: Eukaryota; Metazoa; Chordata; Lepidosauria; Squamata; Teiidae. The record is from RNAcentral.